GGUCUGGUGGUCUAGAGGUAUGAUUCCUUCUUAGGGCGUUUGUCGUUUGGAGGAGGUCCCGGGUUCAAUUCCCGGCCAGACCC
Non-coding RNA from Sphaerobolus stellatus SS14, 83 nucleotides. The record is from the annotation of a GenBank genome assembly. Lineage: Eukaryota; Fungi; Basidiomycota; Agaricomycetes; Geastrales; Sphaerobolaceae.